UGGGGAAUUUUGCGCAAUGGGGGAAACCCUGACGCAGCAACGCCGCGUGCGGGACGAAGGCCUUCGGGUUGUAAACCGCUUUCAGCAGGGACGAAUUCCGACGGUACCUGCAGAAGAAGCCCCGGCUAACUACGUGCCAGCAGCCGCGGUAAUACGUAGGGGGCGAGCGUUAUCCGGAUUCAUUGGGCGUAAAGCGCGCGUAGGCGGCGCGUCAAGCGGGACCUCUAACCCCGGGGCUCAACCCCGGGCCGGGUCCCGGACUGGCGCGCUCGAGUGCGGUAGAGGCGAGUGGAAUUCCCGGUGUAGCGGUGGAAUGCGCAGAUAUCGGGAAGAACACCGAUGGCGAAGGCAGCUCGCUGGGCCGACACUGACGCUGAGGCGCGAAAGCUGGGGGAGCGAACAGG
RNAcentral lists this ribosomal RNA (404 nucleotides) under uncultured bacterium. Its description in RNAcentral is "bacterial SSU rRNA". It matches the Rfam family "Bacterial small subunit ribosomal RNA", at positions 355 to 776 of the family's 1533-position model. The record is from RNAcentral.